UACGUAGGGGGCAAGCGUUGUCCGGAAUCAUUGGGCGUAAAGCGCGUGUAGGCGGCCCGAUAAGUCCGCUGUGAAAGUCCAGGGCUCAACCCCGGAAUGCCGGUGGAUACUGUCGGGCUCGAGUCCGGAAGAGGCGAGUGGAAUUCCUGGUGUAGCGGUGAAAUGCGCAGAUAUCAGGAGGAACACCGAUGGCGAAGGCAGGUCUCUGGGCAUUAACUGACGCUGAGGAGCGAAAGCAUGGGGAGCGAACAGG
This 253-nucleotide ribosomal RNA is filed under the name uncultured bacterium. RNAcentral describes it as "partial 16S ribosomal RNA". It matches the Rfam family "Bacterial small subunit ribosomal RNA", at positions 524 to 776 of the family's 1533-position model. The record is from RNAcentral.